UGAAGGAGUCUCACAGUAAAAUGCAAGAGGAGAUCACGGCGUUACAGAAAAGAGUAGGCGUUCUUGGUGAAGAACUGCACAAUGUCCCGGGUAUACUGGCUGGGGCUGAGUGACCAGAAAGUGGAAAAUCAAUGGCUCUGGGUGGAUGGCUCCCCUCUGAAACUCAGCUUCUGGAGCACCAGGGAGCCCAAUGACUCCAGCAACGAGGACUGUGGCACCAUGGCGAUUGACGGGCGCUGGAACGACAUAAACAUACCUGUGGACAUACACCUUUCUCAAAUUCAUCUUUCAUG
Mauremys mutica (yellowpond turtle) is the source of this 293-nucleotide long non-coding RNA. RefSeq lists it as uncharacterized. The transcript has 3 exons. The record is from RefSeq and is a predicted model, not a curated record. NCBI's taxonomy places the organism in Eukaryota, Metazoa, Chordata, Testudines, Geoemydidae.